RNAcentral lists this transfer RNA (72 nucleotides) under Ictidomys tridecemlineatus (thirteen-lined ground squirrel). RNAcentral's name for it is "Spermophilus tridecemlineatus (thirteen-lined ground squirrel) tRNA". It matches the Rfam family "tRNA". From Rfam's summary of the family: Transfer RNA (tRNA) molecules are approximately 80 nucleotides in length. Their secondary structure includes four short double-helical elements and three loops (D, anti-codon, and T loops). The record is from Rfam by way of RNAcentral. Lineage: Eukaryota; Metazoa; Chordata; Mammalia; Rodentia; Sciuridae.
GGAGUUGUAGCUCAGUGGUAGAGUGCUUGCCUAGCAUGCGUGAGGCACUGGGUUCAAUUCUCAGCACUACUA